RNAcentral lists this ribosomal RNA (253 nucleotides) under uncultured bacterium. RNAcentral's name for it is "partial 16S ribosomal RNA". It matches the Rfam family "Bacterial small subunit ribosomal RNA", at positions 524 to 776 of the family's 1533-position model. The record is from RNAcentral.
UACGGGGGGGGCAAGCGUUGUUCGGAAUUACUGGGCGUAAAGGGUUCGUAGGUGGCCAACUAAGUCAGACGUGAAAUCCCUCAGCUUAACUGGGGAACUGCGCCUCAAACUACAUGGCUAGAGCAUUGGAGAGGGAAGUGGAAUUCACGGUGUAGCAGUGAAAUGCGUAGAUAUCGUGAGGAACACCAGAGGCGAAGGCGACUUCCUGGACAAUUGCUGACACUCAGGCACGAAAGCGUGGGGAGCAAAAGGG